This 2905-nucleotide long non-coding RNA is filed under the name Macaca mulatta (Rhesus monkey). RNAcentral's name for it is "lncRNA (ENSMMUG00000062395.1)". Lineage: Eukaryota; Metazoa; Chordata; Mammalia; Primates; Cercopithecidae. The record is from RNAcentral.
UGAGCAAAUUUGCAGCUGGCUUUGUUCCGCCCGGAACACUGUGUUCUUUCCUCACAUCCUCCCGCCCCGCUGAGGGCUCUCUACACAGGCAUGCAGGAGAUCACAUGCCAGCCUGGAAGUUAGAGCACCCCGGGGCCCCUCAGUUACCAAGGGAGCGCUGGAUAUGCCAGGUGGCCUCCUAAGGGAGACUGCCUGGGGGCAGAAGGUUUUGGUUAUCCGAUAAGAGGCAACUGUCCUCUGACUUCACUAGGAUUCUGAAGCCCAGAGAACUGAUUGAGAGAGGGCAAUCGGGCGAGAUGGAGACAGAAUGGACCCAAAUACUGUCCGAAUGUUCAGUGUUCAGUGAAGCAGCUUCCGUCACAGUGAGGUACCUGAGGUGUGGACUGCUCCCUGGGAGGGAGGCUGAAAGAAGCAAGGCUACAGAAACAGGAGAAGAAAACAGGAAAGGGCAUCGUUACAUACUGUAACUCCAAAAUAUUUAUGUACUCAGACAGGCCUCCCCUCUUAUCCUAGAGACCAGAAGGGAAGUUCCUCCUCCCUUUGGAAAACAGGACUCCAGAGUGGGGAGAAACCCAUGGCCUUGGCACAAAGCUCUGCAAGACAUAAAUGUACUCCGUGUAGAAGGCCUUACACACUGAAGGUUGCCUAUAAAGGGUGAAUGAAAGAAUGAAUGAGAGAGGGAGUGUGUGUGUGUGUGUGUGUGUGUGCGUGCGUGUGGCAGAGAGAUAGCGAUUGAGAUCGGCAAGUAUUCUCUAAAUAGGUCAUAGGUCAUAAACUUCCAGCUUCUAUACAAGUUUGAUUUCCCUAGAGAACUAUAAUAAUAAUGUUAGAAACUGCAAACAUUUGUUCUUUUUAUGUGCAAGGCAUAGUUAUAAAUGCUUUACAUGUACUAAUUCAUUUCAUUGGCACAAUUUUUUGAUGUUGAUUCUUUUAUUACCUUCAUUUUGUAAAUGAGAAAAUUUAAACACAGAGAGGUUAAGUGACUUCCCCAAGGCCACACAGCUAGUGAGUGGUGAACCUGGGUAUAUGAUGGGGGAGAUGUGGAAAUUAAAGUCAGAGAAAUUUGGGUUGGAACCUUGGCCCUAUUAUCUAUUAACUGUGUGACCUUUUGCAAGUUAUUUAAACUCCCUGAAUCACAUUUGCCUCAUUGGAAAAAUCAAGUUAAUUGCAUCUACAUCAUAGUGUUGUUGUGAAAAUUGGAUGAGUCUUGGUACUUUGAUUUCCUGUAGUUGAGUUUCCUGUAGUAAUUUAGACCAACUCUCCUGCUGGAAAUAACUAAGCAUGUUGGAUAAUUCUCUUUUCAUAUUCAUAAAAGCAUUAAAUUGCUGACAGGAUGGUAAGAAAUUCCAGCCUCAAGUCUAAGAGAAAGGAAGAACACAGAGAAGUAAGUGGAACAUCAAAGCCAUCUUUCCUGUGAAGGCAUUUAUCCAUCUGAAUUCUCCAAGCUGCAAAACUGAGCUGUGGUUUUGAUGGAUUCUGGAAGCAAGAACACAGAAGUCAAGGCUAGGAAUUACCAGGGAUUCCACAGUCACCUCCUCAAGUCCGUGUGAACCAGAAGUAAACUGGCCCCUCCCACAAUACCCCAUGGGAUGAUGGAAAGUGAGGUCUUGGCACCAGUCAGAGUCAGAGAGAAAGAAAAGAAAAAACACUGAUCUCUAAGGGGUUAUAACCAUGGGCUAGCAUUUUUUUUCAGAUUUGGAGCCCAAGUCUGCAUCUGUAGUGUGGUUCCAAAGCUCAAGCUAGGUAUUUAAAAUAGUACUGCGUAGAGAGAAUGAUGAGAAAAAAGAAGAGGCACAGAGGUUGGGAGAGCCACUGAGGUAGACACAAUUUGUAUACCAUGUUCCAGCUGCACUGAAAUGCUCUCAAUCCUUCACAUAAACACCCAUGCAUAACUUCUCAUCUUUGUACCAGUUGUUCCUUCCAUUAUCAACCAUAUGAUCUCUGGAGUCAGAUGGCACAGGUUCAUAUCCUGACUCUGGGUGACUUUGAGUAAGCCACUUAAUCUCUCUCGUCAUUUUCCUCAUCUGAAAAAUUGGGGACAUACUGCAACUCCAAAUUAUUUAUUUACUCAGACAGGCCUCCUCUCUUAUCCUAGAGACCAGAAGGGAAGUUCCUCCUCCCUUUGGAAAACAGGACUCCAGAGUGGGGAUUACAAUACCUCCUUGUGGUUUGCUGAGAGGAUCAAAUGAGUUAAUAUAUACAGAAGGCUUAGUAGAAUGUCUGGCACAUCGGAGGUAAUUACAGAGUGAUGGUGGUGGUACUGAUGAUGAUGGUGCUGAUGAUGAUGAUUUUCUCAAAUGAUCAUGUACCCCUUAUUUAUUUGGCAAUUUUUAUUAAUUGUUUACAACUCAGGUAAAAUAUGACUGCUUCAGGCUGGGUGUGGUGGCUCACGCUUGUAAUCCCAGCACUUUGGGAGGCUCAGGUGGGAGGAUAACUUGAGGUCAGCAGUUGGAGACCAGCCUGGCCAACAGGGUGAAAACCCAUCUUUACUAAAAGUACAGAAAUUAGUUAGAUGGUGGCAUGUACCUGUAGUCCCAGCUACUCAGGAGGUUGAGGUGGGAGAAUCACUUGAACCCGUGAGGUGGAAGUUGCAGUGAGCUAUAAUUGCACCACUGCACUCCAGCCUGGGCAACACAGUGAGAUCCUGUCUCAAAAAAAAAAAAAAUCACCUCUUCUGUUAAACCUUCUCUGCUUCUAUGUGCCACAAAACUUUGUGUCUCUCCUGGGGCCCUUAUCACACUCUAUUGCAAUGACUUAUUGACAUCUCUACCUACCCCUGAGAACUGUUAAGUUACCUAGUGGGGACUAAGUCUUAUUUGUCAUUGGUCCUUAGUUGCUAGUACAGAACUUGACACAUAACAGAUGCUUAGCAAAUACUUGGUGAAUUAAAGAAUGUAUUGGCCGG